RNAcentral lists this non-coding RNA (21 nucleotides) under Caenorhabditis elegans. Lineage: Eukaryota; Metazoa; Nematoda; Chromadorea; Rhabditida; Rhabditidae. The record is from RNAcentral.
UAUUCAUCAUGAUUUCCAUCA